UCCAGUGUCUUUCAAUCGAUUACUCUUUCUAGUGAACCUUUGAAGGUUGGCUCCUCCUUUCUUUCUUCUCCAUCUUUAUUGGUUGCUAUAUAUAGCUACUUCAUCUGAUAUUGAGCACCCUACUAAUUGUUUGACUUAGGUGGCUACUUCCUAGCAUUUCAAUGGCUUCGGUAGAGACAAACCAAAACCUCCUUUGGUCGUAAUGUGGAGGAUUUUGACAACGGAUUUGUUCGUCGUCACUAAAAGUAUUACCGACGACAGUAGCGACGAUAAUGCCUUCACUAUAGUUAUUAGCGACAAAAAUUUAACUGUCGAUAAUACUAACCCUAAAAGCUCUCC
This 339-nucleotide long non-coding RNA is filed under the name Elaeis guineensis (African oil palm). Its description in RNAcentral is "long non-coding RNA (EGUI_LNC039196)". Lineage: Eukaryota; Viridiplantae; Streptophyta; Magnoliopsida; Arecales; Arecaceae. The record is from RNAcentral.